RNAcentral lists this small RNA (243 nucleotides) under Drosophila erecta. RNAcentral's name for it is "GG26716". The record is from RNAcentral. Lineage: Eukaryota; Metazoa; Arthropoda; Insecta; Diptera; Drosophilidae.
AUUGGAGCAGUAGAAACUGUGGGGCAAUCGAAGUGGUGUGUGGGUGCCAAAAGCGCUAUUUAAUUUUACGACAGAUACAUUUAUGCUUAUUACUUGUGUUGCUUUUACGUCUAAAAUAUGUCUACGAUGCGGUCAUAAUGGAUAUGCAUGUGUGUUACUGCGGUGUGAUGCGUGAUUGUGUGCUUACAACUAGUUUCCGAUACAGUAUAUAGUAUGUAUAUAGUAUAAUAUAUGUAAUUUAGC